RNAcentral lists this unclassified non-coding RNA (229 nucleotides) under plant metagenome. Its description in RNAcentral is "partial contains small subunit ribosomal RNA, internal transcribed spacer 1, and 5.8S ribosomal RNA". The record is from RNAcentral.
GCUCCGUAGGUGAACCUGCGGAGGGAUCAUUACAGAGUUCAUGCCCUACCGGGUAGAUCUCCCACCCUAUGUUAUUAUUACUUUGUUGCUUUGGCGGGCCGUUAGGCUCCGGCCCGACUACCAGCCCCGGCUGGUAAGCGCCCGCCAGAGGACCCAAAACCCUGAAUAUUAGUGUCGUCUGAGUACUAUAUAAUAGUUAAAACUUUCAACAACGGAUCUCUUGGUUCUG